AGUUAGUGUGUGUAGGCUCAUCCAUUUUUAAAAAUGUCUACUGCUUGCUUUUUUAAAACCUUUACUUUCCAUUUCAGAAUCUCGUCUUGAAAAAAAAAUCCUAAUUUAAAAUGUCAGGAUUUUUUUUUUUUUUCUGUAUUUGAUUUAGUUUUGCUAAUUCGUCUUCAUUUUCUGACCAGAAAUAACUAAUUUAACUAGUACUGCUAUUUAUUUUAGUAACUGAUUUAGAGCUGGUACAACCUGGUGGGGCUGCUUGUGCCAACGGCAUGACGGUUAUGUCUGCUGCAGAAAACCUGGCAUCAUUGCUUGUCCUGAGGAGUAAGGAAUCCAGUUUGGAAAUCAUAGCUUUUCUAACCCCCACCCACAAAUCCAGCCUCGUGCACAUGUUAAAUCCUAUCCAUUUGAGAUAUGACCUGGAUGUGUGCCAGUCCUGCCCCUGCAGCACCAUGUGUACCAGCAGUUCUGACCUGCAGAAGAAUUUGCUGGGGAAGCAUUGAGUGGCUGCUGAGAAGAGAGAAAUGGAGAAACCAGGAUGGGAGCCUCCCAGGGAUGGGGAAGAAGGGUCAUGAGCGGAGCAGUGUGAAGAGGGGAAGCUCUCUCUGCGCACCAACCAAGAUUUCACCUUUGUGUGCAUGUGUCCUAUGAAGUGGUCGGCAAGUUGUGUUUAUGGUGGUAGUCUGAAAAAUGUAGGAGCUCUUGGAUGAUCUCUGCAAGAUGUGCUUUCACUUACCCAUGUGCAUCUCUUUGUUUCUGAAUUUAAAAUGUGGUACAUCUUAGUGAAGAAAACUAGGUUUCUAUGCAGGCAGCCUCUUUUCCAGCUCAGAAGUAAAAGAUGUCAAAAUAUGCUUUUUGAACAAACCUUCUUAGAGGCAGAAGGCUUUCUCUAUUGAUCAGAAAAGCUCAGAGUGACCAAACUGAAGUAAAAAUCCCAGGAUGAUAUGGAGGAGGGUAUAAUUUUUUUGUUGCAGAUGGCAUGUCUGAGCAGCAUUUGGCUUUGGUUCCUGGACUAAUGCAGCAUGUUCUUGCUGCCGGUAAAUCCAGUCUACUAAAGAUGUGGGUGCUGCAAGACAUUCCUAAAGGCUCCCCAUUGCACCCCUGUUUCACUUGUGGCCUUUGGUCCCUUUCUCGAUCUUCAAAUCUGCAAGUGUCAAAGUUAAUAGAAAACAUGGAAGGGGGGAAUUGAAAAAAAUCUGAAAGGUUUUCUGUGGGAAUGCUGAGCAGGAAUCCCAGAAGUGCACAAAAGAGUUUUUAGUCUGAGCACCUGUGACACUUAAACACCACUGAAAGCUUUAUCUGCAGCUUUCCUGAUCAAGGGAUGGUCCCAGGCAAUGCAGUUGCUAGCUGAAAUUUGAUUUUUUUUUUUGAGGGAUUUAUAUGCUUUCGUCUCAUGAGGAUUUCCCACUGCAAAUAUCUAGAGGUGUGUGUAGCCCAGGACAUGUGAACAGAAAGAACUCUGCAUAUUUUGUGGUUUUGUUGAGUGGCAGUGCAGCCCAGGUGAUGUAAGAGUGCCUCUGAUUUCCAGCUCUGGUACUUCUUUCUUGGAGAAACCACUAACCUUAACAGAUCUGUGGUUUUUUGGUCUGCACACUGACAAUGGUGGUAUGUACUUGCUGUCCUCUGUAAAGGGACCCCACAGGAGUUGGGG
RNAcentral lists this long non-coding RNA (1645 nucleotides) under Parus major (Great Tit). RNAcentral's name for it is "lncRNA (ENSPMJG00000015084.1)". The record is from RNAcentral. Lineage: Eukaryota; Metazoa; Chordata; Aves; Passeriformes; Paridae.